RNAcentral lists this ribosomal RNA (780 nucleotides) under uncultured Mycobacterium sp. RNAcentral's name for it is "bacterial SSU rRNA". It matches the Rfam family "Bacterial small subunit ribosomal RNA", at positions 564 to 1342 of the family's 1533-position model. Lineage: Bacteria; Bacillati; Actinomycetota; Actinomycetes; Mycobacteriales; Mycobacteriaceae. The record is from RNAcentral.
AGAGCUCGUAGGUGGUUUGUCGCGUUGUUCGUGAAAUCUCACGGCUUAACUGUGAGCGUGCGGGCGAUACGGGCAGACUUGAGUACUGCAGGGGAGACUGGAAUUCCUGGUGUAGCGGUGGAAUGCGCAGAUAUCAGGAGGAACACCGGUGGCGAAGGCGGGUCUCUGGGCAGUAACUGACGCUGAGGAGCGAAAGCGUGGGGAGCGAACAGGAUUAGAUACCCUGGUAGUCCACGCCGUAAACGGUGGGUACUAGGUGUGGGUUUCCUUCCUUGGGAUCCGUGCCGUAGCUAACGCAUUAAGUACCCCGCCUGGGGAGUACGGCCGCAAGGCUAAAACUCAAAGAAAUUGACGGGGGCCCGCACAAGCGUCGGAGCAUGUGGAUUAAUUCGAUGCAACGCGAAGAACCUUACCUGGGUUUGACAUGCACAGGACGCCGGCAGAGAUGUCGGUUCCCUUGUGGCCUGUGUGCAGGUGGUGCAUGGCUGUCGUCAGCUCGUGUCGUGAGAUGUUGGGUUAAGUCCCGCAACGAGCGCAACCCUUGUCUCAUGUUGCCAGCGGGUAAUGCCGGGGACUCGUGAGAGACUGCCGGGGUCAACUCGGAGGAAGGUGGGGAUGACGUCAAGUCAUCAUGCCCCUUAUGUCCAGGGCUUCACACAUGCUACAAUGGCCGGUACAAAGGGCUGCGAUGCCGCGAGGUUAAGCGAAUCCUUUUAAAGCCGGUCUCAGUUCGGAUCGGGGUCUGCAACUCGACCCCGUGAAGUCGGAGUCGCUAGUAAU